This 368-nucleotide ribosomal RNA is filed under the name uncultured bacterium. RNAcentral describes it as "partial 16S ribosomal RNA". It matches the Rfam family "Bacterial small subunit ribosomal RNA", at positions 355 to 741 of the family's 1533-position model. The record is from RNAcentral.
UGGGGAAUAUUGGACAAUGGGCGCAAGCCUGAUCCAGCCAUGCCGCGUGAGUGAUGAAGGCCUUAGGGUUGUAAAGCUCUUUCGCCGGUGAAGAUAAUGACGGUAACCGGAGAAGAAGCCCCGGCUAACUUCGUGCCAGCAGCCGCGGUAAUACGAAGGGGGCUAGCGUUGCUCGGAAUCACUGGGCGUAAAGCGCACGUAGGCGGAUCGUUAAGUCAGGGGUGAAAUCCUGGAGCUCAACUCCAGAACUGCCCUUGAUACUGGCGAUCUCGAGUUCGAGAGAGGUUGUGGAACUCCGAGUGUAGAGGUGAAAUUCGUAGAUAUUCGGAAGAACACCAGUGGCGAAGGCGGCCAACUGGCUCGAUACU